Molecule: ribosomal RNA, 407 nt
Filed under: uncultured bacterium
Lineage: Bacteria
Description: partial 16S ribosomal RNA
Rfam family: Bacterial small subunit ribosomal RNA
Source: RNAcentral
AUUGAACGCUGGCGGCAGGCCUAACACAUGCAAGUCGAGCGGAGCGGCGGACGGGUGAGUAAUGCCUAGGAAUCUGCCUGGUAGUGGGGGAUAACGUCCGGAAACGGGCGCUAAUACCGCAUACUAUCAGAUGAGCCUCGGUCGGAUUAGCUAGUUGGGGGGGUAAAGGCCUACCAAGGCGAAGAUCCGUAACUGGUCUGAGAGGAUGAUCAGUCAAACGGGUACUGCGACACGGUCCAGUAUCCUACGGGAGGCAGCAUUGGGUAAUAGUGGACAAUGGGCGAAAGCCUGCUCCAGCCAUGCCGCGUGUGUGAUGAAGUUCUUCGGAUUUUAAAGCACUUUAAGUUGGGAGGCGUUACCAACAGAAUAAGCACCGGCUAACUUCGUGCCAGCAGCCGCGGUAAUAC